UUAUACAACAGUGAAAGCGGGGUAACAACACUGUAACGGCUACCCUGGUGUAGAGAGGGUACCAGCCAUUAGGGAUGUCCUUUUCUUCCUGGCAGUCGCUGUGUAGUGAUGGAGUCGCCUAUUCCCUUCUGCUGGAUCAAGAGUGGAAGCCAGGUGCAGCUCUGAAAAGAGCUAAGUGAUUAAGCUGCAGAGAUUCCCCUUUCAAGAACGAGACGAGGCUACGUUUUGAAG
This is a non-coding RNA of Pelobates cultripes (western spadefoot toad), 231 nucleotides long. NCBI's taxonomy places the organism in Eukaryota, Metazoa, Chordata, Amphibia, Anura, Pelobatidae. The record is from the annotation of a GenBank genome assembly.